GACGAACGCUGGCGGCGUGCCUAAUACAUGCAAGUAGAACGCUGAAGCGAGGAGCUUGCUCUUCUUGGAUGAGUUGCGAACGGGUGAGUAACGCGUAGGUAACCUGCCUUGUAGCGGGGGAUAACUAUUGGAAACGAUAGCUAAUACCGCAUAACAAUGGAUGACACAUGUCAUUUAUUUGAAAGGGGCAAUUGCUCCACUACAAGAUGGACCUGCGUUGUAUUAGCUAGUAGGUGAGGUAAUGGCUCACCUAGGCGACGAUACAUAGCCGACCUGAGAGGGUGAUCGGCCACACUGGGACUGAGACACGGCCCAGACUCCUACGGGAGGCAGCAGUAGGGAAUCUUCGGCAAUGGGGGCAACCCUGACCGAGCAACGCCGCGUGAGGGAAGAAGGUUGUCGGAUCGUAAAGCUCUGUUGUAAGUCAAGAACGGGUGUGAGAGUGGAAAGUUCACACUGUGACGGUAGCUUACCAGAAAGGGACGGCUAACUACGUG
Molecule: ribosomal RNA, 497 nt
Filed under: uncultured bacterium
Lineage: Bacteria
Description: partial 16S ribosomal RNA
Rfam family: Bacterial small subunit ribosomal RNA
Source: RNAcentral